Molecule: long non-coding RNA, 2398 nt
Filed under: Marmota monax (woodchuck)
Lineage: Eukaryota; Metazoa; Chordata; Mammalia; Rodentia; Sciuridae
Source: RNAcentral
UUUGAAUCUUCUUCAGUGAGUAGUUUUGAAUUUGCAUUUUAUAGCUUGUUAACAAAUUUAAGAAUACAAAUAGACUAUUUUCAUUGGAUUUGAUAGAAAGGACUCUUUUUGAGUAUGUGCAAAUCCCCAAAAUAUUCUGGCUUUUUAAGGUGGUGAUAAUUUAAAUUGUUUUUUCGACGACUGAUCCUAAAAUAGUGAGAAAAAUUUUGCACAGAUUUUAUUUAAAAACUGAAUAGAAUAAGAAUGUAUAGCUGUGGUUAUGGCUUUAUUUAAUUGAUCUCAAAAUACCCCUACAUGUUCAUCUAUGCCCAAAUGUAAUACUAGGAAUACAAGGGCUAAAAUUAUACUUAAUUUUUGAGCAUCUGUUUUAUAUACUCUCAAGUUUUUUUUAAAGGUAAGCAUUUAACAGCUUGGAAAGAGAAAUUAUUAAUAAAGUAUAACUGUUAUAUUAAAAUAUAAUAAAAUGUAUCUUAAAAAAAUAAUGUGAUCCCAUUUUAGGUCAGUUUGUCCUAGGGGGCAUUAUCAACACUCUAAAAAAAUUCAAACUUGAAAAAAAAUCUUUUUUUUUUCUUUUUUUUUUUAGGACAGCAAGCCAUUAAAUCUCAUGAGUAAUGUUGAAAAAAGCUGGAUUGUGCAUAGAUUGCUCUUUACCCAGGAUGCACUUCUGUCUGCAAGAUUCUGAAUAGAGACACACCUGCUAGCUAGCUGAUAACACUCUGGGGUCAUUUCAUUGAAGAAACUGUCAGCCAGGAGUUACUUAAAAUAAAGCCACAGACAAAAUCAUGACCUGCACUGUUGAGACUAAAAAGGUGUAAAAGCAGAAAGGAAAUGUAGAUAAAUGCACAUUCCUUUGUACCAUAACAAAACUUUUACAUGUAAAUUCAACUGAAUAGGAAAGAAUGGGGAAGAAUGUUUCCCUCUACAGUAGAAACAAAUUAGAUUGUUCAGCUGCACAUUUGGCUCUCAGCCAAAGGAGUCGUGUGCCAUGCUUGUUUGCCUACCAGUGCUGCUUAGAUUGGCAAAUGCCCAUGCAGUUUGAAGAGGGCAGGCGGAUGACUGGAUGCCUGCCAGGAAGUGUGUGGGACUGAUGCCACUGCUGGACUCCAUAGCCUGGUAGGAAUGAGGAGUACAAAGGCAUUCAAUAAUCUGAAUGUCCCUUUGCUUCAAGAGAGUGGUGCCAGGCAGCAUUUAAUGAGAGAUUGCUUUGUUACAAAGUCCUCAACAUCAAGUGGGCUGGUGAGCUCAUUAACCUGACUGCAGCAAAUAAAAAAGGCACACUCAGAAGACUCCCAUGAUAGCCUACUCAAUGGUGUAAGAGCCCUUUUGCUUCCUUUAUGGUGAUCCAUUAGCAAGCAGCAGUGUAAACACCAUAAAGCAAGCCAGGUUUCUGAUUGUUCAACUAAAGUCUGUUUCCCCUUGGGGAUUAUACCACCAGUUGAUAUAGGAUUUUUCCUCUUAAGGUUUCUAUCUACUAUAUAAUGACCGUCUUUGCAACGAAGGAUUUUGGGGGUUGCUCUUAACAGCACUGCUCCGGUUAAGGAAACAUGAACUGUUCAGGUGUCUGAAAGAAGGUAAUGAUGUAGGACACACAGAAACAAACUACGAAGUGGAGUGAUCCCAAGAGGAAAUCUUGCUGCGCACUUCUGAAGCCCAAAAUGGUGAACGCAUUACGCUACUUUUCUGCGUUCCCUUUAUUUUUAGCUUUCAGAGGGCUUUACAUUCAUAUGGGAGGUAGGCCACCCCUGCAGUUAGGAGACAGUUCACUGAGCAUCUCUCUCUGAGUGCUACUUCAGCUCUCUGGGGAUUCAUUUACUCUGCAAAGGCUCUUCAGCAAGGAUUCCUCUCUCCUCCAUUUGGAACAUAUUUGAUGGUUGGUUGUGCAAAAAUCUGACUUACAGUGUCUAAACAGAAAGCUAUAGAAUAAAAAAAUAAAAAUAAAAAAAACUGAAAGAUAAAGGAAGACCAAAAACAAAACAAAACAAAACAAAACAAAACAAAACAAAAAAAACACAAAAGAUCACAACAUUACAUCUUUUGAAAUCCAAAGGCCAUCUGUUGCUUUGCUAUCAAAUGUGAGGAGGUCAUCGUAUGACUUUAGAGAUUGGUUUGAGAAAUGAGAAAGGAAAAGCCCAUAACUUUCAAGUUACCAAUUUAAAUCUAGAAGCAAUUACAGGUGAGUGACAACCAUUGUUUUCUGAUUGACAUUUGGUGGUUAAAAUGAAAAAAGUUAAUUGUCUUGGUCCGACGUUUAGUUAACAUAUGUCUGUAGUAAUCAAAAUUAUUAUGUAUAAUUGAAAAAAUAAUCUGGAUGUAGAAAUCAUUCAUUUUGUUUCCUCCAUAAUCAUUUUGGAGAAAGGAUCAAGUAUAACUUCAAUGAAAUCCUAUAUGAGAGUGUUUU